RNAcentral lists this long non-coding RNA (648 nucleotides) under Sarcophilus harrisii (Tasmanian devil). RNAcentral's name for it is "lncRNA (ENSSHAG00000032005.1)". Lineage: Eukaryota; Metazoa; Chordata; Mammalia; Dasyuromorphia; Dasyuridae. The record is from RNAcentral.
GUCUUUUUAUUUUUUUAAGGGGAGAAAAGAUUUUUUUCUAUCCUGUUUGAGGACCACCCAUGAGCCUUUUUAUUUUGGAUCUCUUAAUCCUGACAGGACAGAGAAAGGAGACAUGUUGCCUUUAGCAGUCCUUUGGACUCUCAUGGGUUUUCCUUCCAAAAGGUCUUUUCUGCUCAGAUACCUUACUCCUCAUACUAUCUCACAAAGAUGUCUAUCGAAUACCCUUCUCAGAUGCUUCAUGAUCAGUGCCUGGAUUUUCAAAGCUUAUGGCCAUCAGAAUGAAAGGUUUGGCAAGUUCUACUCUGUUGGAAAGAUUUCUGAUAUGAACCCAAUUGCCUGUAUCUGUUCUCAGAGGACCAGUGAGCUGUUGAUUGAUUUUUAUUUUUGGACAUAGCAACUCAUUUUAGAGAGCUUGAAAUCCAUUUUCUAACUCUCAAAAGCCCCAUUGAUCUUCCUCUUUAUUGGAUCCCUCUCCCACUACCUUUAGACAUGUCCUCCCUUUUGAAUUCUUUUAAAUUCUAAAUUCUUUUUUUUUUUUUAAAAGAAGAAAAUAAGCCUUUGCUUCACAAAGCUCCAUGACAUGUAGAAAGCUGAUACAAAUCUGUAAGACCCAAACAAUUCAGAGAUUUAGAGACAGAAGGGACCUCA